UGCCCUAGUAACGGCGAGUGAAGCGGCAACAGCUCAAAUUUGAAAUCUGGCCCUAGGCCCGAGUUGUAAUUUGUAGAGGAUGCUUUUGGUGACGUGCUUACCGAGUCCCCUGGAACGGGGCGCCACAGAGGGUGAGAGCCCCGUAUGGUUUGCCGCCGAGCCUCUGUAAAGCUCCUUCGACGAGUCGAGUAGUUUGGGAAUGCUGCUCUAAAUGGGAGGUAAAUUUCUUCUAAAGCUAAAUACCGGCCAGAGACCGAUAGCGCACAAGUAGAGUGAUCGAAAGAUGAAAAGCACUUUGAAAAGAGGGUUAAAUAGCACGUGAAAUUGUUGAAAGGGAAGCGCUCGUGACCAGACUUGCGCCGGGCGGAUCAUCCAGCGUUCUCGCUGGUGCACUCCGCCCGGCUCAGGCCAGCAUCGAUUUUCGCCGGGGGACAAAAGCUUCGGGAACGUGGCUCUCUUCGGGGAGUGUUAUAGCCCGUUGCGUAAUACCCCGGCGGGGAUCGAGGACCGCGCUUCGGCAAGGAUGCUGGCGUAAUGGUCAUCAGCGACCCGUCUUGAAACACGGACCGAGGAGUCAAGCAUUAGUGCGAGUGUUUGGGUGUAAAACCCGCACGCGUAAUGAAAGUGAACGUAGGUGAGAGCUUCGGCGCAUCAUCGACCGAUCCUGAUGUUUUCGGAUGGAUUUGAGUAGGAGCAUUAACGCUUGGACCCGAAAGAUGGUGAACUAUACUUGAAUAGGGUGAAGCCA
This 748-nucleotide ribosomal RNA is filed under the name Nakataea sp. CBS 332.53. RNAcentral's name for it is "eukaryotic LSU rRNA". It matches the Rfam family "Eukaryotic large subunit ribosomal RNA", at positions 76 to 854 of the family's 3401-position model. Lineage: Eukaryota; Fungi; Ascomycota; Sordariomycetes; Magnaporthales; Magnaporthaceae. The record is from RNAcentral.